GACGAACGCUGGCGGCGUGCUUAACACAUGCAAGUCGAACGGAAAGGCCCUGCUUUUGUGGGGUGCUCGAGUGGCGAACGGGUGAGUAACACGUGAGUAACCUGCCCUUGACUUUGGGAUAACUUCAGGAAACUGGGGCUAAUACCGGAUAGGAGCUCCUGCUGCAUGGUGGGCGUUGGAAAGUUUCGGCGGUUGGGGAUGGACUCGCGGCUUAUCAGCUUGUUGGUGGGGUAGUGGCUUACCAAGGCUUUGACGGGUAGCCGGCCUGAGAGGGUGACCGGCCACAUUGGGACUGAGGUACGGCGCAGACUCCUACGGGAGGCAGAAGUGGGGAAUAUUGCACAAUGGGCGGGAGCCUGAUGCAGCGGCGCCGCGUGCGGGAUGACGGCCUUCGGGUUGUAAACCGCUUUCGCCUGUGACGAAGCGUGAGUGACGGUAAUGGGUAAAGAAGCACCGGCUAACUACGUG
RNAcentral lists this ribosomal RNA (468 nucleotides) under uncultured bacterium. RNAcentral describes it as "partial 16S ribosomal RNA". It matches the Rfam family "Bacterial small subunit ribosomal RNA", at positions 28 to 507 of the family's 1533-position model. The record is from RNAcentral.